RNAcentral lists this ribosomal RNA (490 nucleotides) under uncultured bacterium. Its description in RNAcentral is "partial 16S ribosomal RNA". It matches the Rfam family "Bacterial small subunit ribosomal RNA", at positions 30 to 507 of the family's 1533-position model. The record is from RNAcentral.
AUUGAACGCUGGCGGCAGGCCUAACACAUGCAAGUCGAACGGUAACAGGAAACAGCUUGCUGUUUCGCUGACGAGUGGCGGACGGGUGAGACAUGUCUGGGAAACUGCCUGAUGGAUGGGGUUAACUACUGGAAACGGUAGCUAAUACCGCAUAACGUCGCAAGACCAAAGAGGGGGAGCUUCGGGCCUCUUGCCAUCGGAUGUGCCCAGAUGGGAUUAGCUAGUAGGUGGGGUAACGGCUCACCUAGGCGACGAUCCCUAGCUGGUCUGAGAGGGUGACCAGCCACACUGGAACUGAGAUACGGUCCAGACUCCUACGGGAGGCAGCAGUGGGGAAUAUUGCACAAUGGGCGAAAGCCUGAUGCAGCCAUGCCGCGUGUAUGAAGAAGGCCUUCGGAUUGUAAAGUACUUUCAGCGGGGAGGAAGGGAGUUAAGUUAAUACCUUUACUCAUUGACGUUACCCACAGAAGAAGCACCGGCUAACUCCGUG